UAUCUAUGCAGAAUUCCUUGGUGGAAGCUUCACAGGUGAUGCUUAGCCACACCUUGUAUGGUGCUGGUGUUCUUCUCCGCAUAGAAAAGGCAUUAGCUCAGUCUGGGGUGUCUAGGGAAGAUGUUAAUUACAUCCACACCAGUCGGAGACCUCAAAGAGUAUAAUGCUCUUGUUCAUUGUUUGGCAAGAAUCCUGAGUUGAGAGUAAACUCUACAGAAUCCAUGAUUGGCGACCUACUAGGAGCAGCUGGUGCUGUAGAACCUGUUGCAGCAGUAAAGGUAACUUAUUUGAUGUUUUCACCUUGGAAGUACCGUAUAAUUUGAAGUCUUGUAUGUAAAGACCAAAUACAACUCAGUAAUUUGAAAUACCUGGAAGUACUUAGUACUGUAUAAUUUGAAGUCUUGUAUGUUGUUUGCAAGCAUUAAAGACCAAAUACAAAUUAGUAGCUGGUUCAUUCAUGACAUCUGAGAAAUUCAAUUUUGAUGACUACCUGGAAUCAAAACUUCCAAGGGACUUUGGUGGGAUGGAAAGGCUCGACAUGUUCUUCCCAUUUGACCCAUGUCUGCUGAUAAAAAGUGACAGAAUGAGUGUCUCGUGCUUGCUAGUUAUUUGUUUCAUGCCUGCCAAGUUUCUGUUAGUCUUUGUGGUUGCUGGCACACUGGAAAGAUUGCGUGCAAAUUUGAAUCCCCAUUCGCCUCUAUUCUGUUAUUACAAUGACCUAACAUUGAGACAAGGAAAGGAAAGCCCCAAGGAAUUUGUUUAAUGCAGUUGUCAUAUGUUACUCUGGUUCCAGGUUGGUGGAUUGGUGUGUAAAAUAUGUCAAAAUGCAGGAUGAUGAAAUAAAUCCACACGCUCAUAGGAUAUUUUAUUCUGGAUAUGCAGGGAAGAAAAGAAAUGUUUAUGCAAUGGAAGUAUAAACAUUUAGAUGAUAAUGAGUGUAUCGUGGAGCACAGAUUGUGUCAUGCUGUCUGUAUACCAAAUUAACUUUAACUAUAUGCAAUCGGUGCAAAGCAUUCCUAUUAAUGGUUAUUUAUUGGUCCAACAAGCCAUCGUACGUGUAAUUGCUGUGCUUCCGAAUGAGAUCAAUGAUGGAUGAUCCUCAGCUGAAGCCAUGGCUUGUUCCUUUGCGUUUAGAGUCAAUUUUGACUAAUAAGUUUAGGUGUGUCUGCCUUCCAUUGUAUUGGAGUUUCUACGGCAAGCAAAAGCAGCUAGGUUAUUCAUGACAGCUGAGAAGUUCAAUUUUGACGACUACCUGGAAUCGAUCAGCACUUUCAAGGGAAUUUGGUGGGAUUGAAAUGGAAGGCUUGACAUGUUCUUCGCAUUUGACCCAUGUCUGCUGAAAUAAAAGUGACAGAUUCCAGUGAUGAAGAUGCCGACGACGCUCUUGCGGGUGACGGUGGAAAUGCAGCGCUUGGAGGAACAUCAUUUUGAUUUUGAUGAAUCCGACUCUGCAUUGAACAAAAUAUCUAUCACACCAAAAGAUUCCUUGCAUAGUAGGUUUGGUGGUGCAAUAAACCAACCCAUGCGAAUGCCCUCAAGAAUUAAACCGUUAAAAAGUCCGGCGUCUUUGUAAAUUGAAAGUGUGUAACCCCA
This is a long non-coding RNA of Prunus dulcis (almond), 1593 nucleotides long. RefSeq lists it as uncharacterized. The transcript is spliced from 8 exons. The record is from RefSeq and is a predicted model, not a curated record. NCBI's taxonomy places the organism in Eukaryota, Viridiplantae, Streptophyta, Magnoliopsida, Rosales, Rosaceae.